GGUACUCCAGUCGUCACUUAAGUCGGACGGAAGGGGGCCCCUGUCCCCGUCGUCCUCUCUUUUGGCCGCUUCGAUGCACCGAUCAAGGGCAGCACAGCUUGGGGAUUCGAAGUCGGGUGAGCGGCAAAUCCAUUCCCUCCUCCUUCCUCUUUUCCAUUGUGAGUUCUCGUGUUUUGAUUCGAUUUACGCGCUCUAUAUAUCGAUCGAUCGAUCGCUCGGUCCCCUGGAUUCUGCUCUCAUCUUCCACCAUUGGUUGAUCUAGGGCUUGAUCUUGCAGCGAAAACUUCCUUCCUUUCGGCGUACUGCUGAUUACUCUCGGUCAGAUGUGAUCUUUUCUGCCUUCUUUUUUUACUGCCCCAGUCUCUGGCAUGAAUUGGAUAAAGAAAAGACGGCCACUUGUUGAAUGGAAUUACGUAGUUUGGACAUCUGAAGAGAUACCUUUAAUCAUUGUUUCUGUGGCUUGCUGUUAGAAAUGAACUGUUAAUGAAGGCCGGCCUGAAGGACAAGGGAUUAUUUAGACUUCAGAAUGCAUACUUUGUAAUGAUGUCUUGUAGAACAUUGUCGCAUAACAUUCCAAUAUAGAUUUUCAAGUGAUAUUUGGUCCCAGUUUCUGUUGUUUUUCAACACUUACAAGAUGCUAGAAUGUUCAUCAAGAGUUAGUGUGGUUCAGCAAGAAAUGUGUUGGAAAGCAUAUGAUGUAGAUAGAAAAAACAUCCUAGUAUUAGCAGCCAGUGUAUAUCAUGUAUGAUUUAAAAGGAACAUGAGUUUGCUUAAGAAUUGUAUUUGAACUUCUGAGUGUACGUGCAAUAGAGUUCAACUUGAGGUGUUUUGAUAAAGGGGAAUAUGCAGAUUUUAUAUCUUUGGUGAUAGAUUUAUA
This 877-nucleotide long non-coding RNA is filed under the name Musa acuminata (dwarf banana). Its description in RNAcentral is "long non-coding RNA (MACU_LNC000730)". The record is from RNAcentral. Lineage: Eukaryota; Viridiplantae; Streptophyta; Magnoliopsida; Zingiberales; Musaceae.